RNAcentral lists this ribosomal RNA (513 nucleotides) under uncultured bacterium. RNAcentral describes it as "partial 16S ribosomal RNA". It matches the Rfam family "Bacterial small subunit ribosomal RNA", at positions 28 to 507 of the family's 1533-position model. The record is from RNAcentral.
GACGAACGCUGGCGGCGUGCUUAACACAUGCAAGUCGAACGAAAAGAGGGAAAGAGCUUGCUCUUUCCGGAAUUGAGUGGCAAACGGGUGAGUAGCACGUAAACAACCUGCCUUCAGGAUGGGGACAACAGACGGAAACGACUGCUAAUACCGAAUAAGUUCCAAGGGCCGCAUGGCCCAUGGAAGAAAAGGUGGCCUCUACCUGUAAGCUAUCGCCUGAAGAGGGGUUUGCGUCUGAUUAGCUGGUUGGAGGGGUAACGGCCCACCAAGGCGACGAUCAGUAGCCGGUCUGAGAGGAUGAACGGCCACACUGGAACUGAGACACGGUCCAGACUCCUACGGGAGGCAGCAGUGGGGAAUCUUCCGCAAUGGGCGAAAGCCUGACGGAGCAACGCCGCGUGAGUGAUGACGGCCUUCGGGUUGUAAAACUCUGUGAUCCGGGACGAAAAGGCAGAGUGCGAAGAACAAACUGCAUUGACGGUACCGGAAAAGCAAGCCACGGCUAACUACGUG